GUUAUGUCGUGAUCACUAGGAUGUCCUUGUUCCCUCAUUGCUGGUUUCCCUGUACAUCAGUAUGGUAGGAGUGCAGAUGAUGGAUUUGCCUGAGUAUGCUAUUGGAGUUUAAUUGAAGAACAGAAGUAGUUCUAUAUCUUCCGAUAUAAAUCUCCUCAAGUCACUUGGCAGUUGUGGCGUGUCCAAGGUAAAAAGAAUUUGGAAGCCAUAUUUCGUGCUUUCCUUUUCCGUUACGAAGUUGUGGGCUCUGUUGAUUUUAAUGAGACCAAUGGAUGAUUCAUGGGUACAAUAUCAACAGGUAGAAACUAUACAAGAGUGGUAAUGGUUCAGUUAUUGAUAGAUUUUAAAUGGCUUGUGGGCGUGACAAGCUGAACAAUGCCUCUUGCAUACAUCAGUUAUUUAUCAUAAUUGCUCAGGUAGUAAGUUACAUUCUGACUACGGAUUCUUCAGGUUGCAAGUGUCGCUGGUACCCCUGUUGUAGUAUAUAGCUGUUUUCUCUUUUGUUCUUUCUGUGUU
This is a long non-coding RNA of Erigeron canadensis, 516 nucleotides long. RefSeq lists it as uncharacterized. NCBI's taxonomy places the organism in Eukaryota, Viridiplantae, Streptophyta, Magnoliopsida, Asterales, Asteraceae. The transcript is spliced from 5 exons. The record is from RefSeq and is a predicted model, not a curated record.